CCGGGCGUAGUUUAAUAGACAAAACAAUUGAGUUGUGACUCAAAAAAUGCCGGUUCAAUCCCGGCCGUCCAGACUA
RNAcentral lists this transfer RNA (76 nucleotides) under Candidatus Kuenenbacteria bacterium CG08_land_8_20_14_0_20_37_23. RNAcentral describes it as "tRNA-OTHER". It matches the Rfam family "tRNA". Rfam says of the family: Transfer RNA (tRNA) molecules are approximately 80 nucleotides in length. Their secondary structure includes four short double-helical elements and three loops (D, anti-codon, and T loops). Further hydrogen bonds mediate the characteristic L-shaped molecular structure. tRNAs have two regions of fundamental functional importance: the anti-codon, which is responsible for specific mRNA codon recognition, and the 3' end, to which the tRNAs corresponding amino acid is attached (by aminoacyl-tRNA synthetases). tRNAs cope with the degeneracy of the genetic code in two manners: having more than one tRNA (with a specific anti-codon) for a particular amino acid; and 'wobble' base-pairing, i.e. permitting non-standard base-pairing at the 3rd anti-codon position. The record is from RNAcentral. Lineage: Bacteria; Candidatus Kueneniibacteriota.